RNAcentral lists this long non-coding RNA (427 nucleotides) under Homo sapiens (human). RNAcentral describes it as "HSALNT0256712". Lineage: Eukaryota; Metazoa; Chordata; Mammalia; Primates; Hominidae. The record is from RNAcentral.
GGCAGGAUGUAUAUUUUAUUCUCUGGAAUAACCAGGAUAAUUCUUACCCUUUAGACUUUGAAGCGAUUUCCUCUUUUUGCUUUGUCUGCCAGGAGGCUCAUAGUUAAAUCCAUGGUCUGAUCCAUGGGAUCAUGUAGGAUAACUAGAAAUGAAUUGGGCCAGGUGCGGUGGCUCAUGCCUGUAAUCCCAGCACUUUGGGAGGCAGGAAGAUCGCUUGAGUCCAGGAGUUCAACACCAUCCGUGGCAAUACAGGGAGACCCCAUCUCUACAAAAACUAAGAACUUAACUGGGUGUGGUGGUGUGCCUCUGUGGUCCCAGAUACUCGGGAGGCUGAGGUGGAAGGAUCACUUGAGUCUGCAGGGUCAAGGCUGCAGUGAGCCAUGAUUGCGCCACUGCACUCAGCUGGGUUACAAAGUGAGACCUUGUC